GAGAGAAAGAUAACUCCAAAGCUUCUACUAUUUUCAUACCUCUCAUGUGGUUCUGGAGUGUGACCCUGAGUACUUUGCUUGACAGUGCAGGCCCCCUACCUGACGGUCACUACCCAGCUUUAUGACAUCUCCGUAGAGUGAGAGGAAAACAUUCCUGUUGCAAGUCAACAUGGGCUUGAUGGUUAAAAAGUAAAAAGAAACACUUCUCUGCCUCCUUCAUAUUCUGACUAUAUUUCAUUAUUAAGAAAAUCAGGCAAGUAGCUAAUAUUUUGCUUGUAGCAGGAACAUAAAGUUGGUUGCACAUCCCAUCUUCCAGUAAGAGUUCCUUUGGCACCAGACACAAGGAUGAAAAAAUGGGCAAAACCAUAAGUACCUAAGCCUUCCAGGAAUCAGGACCUCUGUUACCCCUAAAAGUGGUUACAAGGGUACUUUAUAUGAUGUAAACACCUGCCUACCAUGCUGAUAAUGAGAGCUUAUUACACCUGGCAUCCCUCUAACAGCUGUAUGGUGACCUGUGAACUGUGACCAAAUCCAAACUGAUCACCACAAGGUGAAACGUCUCGAAUCCAAUCAGUCAUCCCAUGAGCUAUUAAGCUAACUGUACAUGGCUAACAUCUGAAGCUUGUGGUAGCUAUUUUCUUUUGAAGUAGUGAAUUUUUGAUGUUGAUGAUGUUCAAUGUGAAAAAAAGUGAAAGGUGGUAAUCAAUAAAAAGAUACCUUAUUUAAAACAUUUUAA
Long non-coding RNA from Erinaceus europaeus (western European hedgehog), 736 nucleotides. RefSeq lists it as uncharacterized. The transcript is spliced from 4 exons. The record is from RefSeq and is a predicted model, not a curated record. Lineage: Eukaryota; Metazoa; Chordata; Mammalia; Eulipotyphla; Erinaceidae.